Molecule: transfer-messenger RNA, 352 nt
Filed under: Roseovarius sp.
Lineage: Bacteria; Pseudomonadati; Pseudomonadota; Alphaproteobacteria; Rhodobacterales; Roseobacteraceae
Rfam family: Alphaproteobacteria transfer-messenger RNA
About the family: Bacterial tmRNA, also known as 10Sa RNA or SsrA, is named for its dual tRNA and mRNA-like properties. Its role is to liberate the mRNA from a stalled ribosome.
Source: RNAcentral
GCCCAUUGCAAACGCCUCCGGCGUCCCUAUAUUCGGGGUGCUCCGUAGGGGGCUAUGGACAUAAACGCGCUCGUAAUAAGCGGAUCGGACCCGGGGGCGGUACCCGGCGGCUCCACCAGACACCCGGUCGUUGGCGGGACAGGGGGCCGAAACAGGAUCGACGAACGUCUAAAGGGGUUUGCUUUGUCCCGGUGAGGUACCACCGUUAUCGGUCCGUAAAGCAUAAUUGCCAACGACAAUCAUGCUCCGGUCGCCGUUGCCGCGUAAGCGGUAACAGGACCGAAAACUGAAGCCCUUGCCUCUAGCCGGGCAAGGCGGGGUUCGCAGGCACCUGGCAACAGAAGCCUGCACU